AGUGAACGCUGGCGGUAGGCCUAACACAUGCCAGUCGAACGGCAGCACAGUAAGAGCUUGCUCUUACGGGUGGCGAGUGGCGGACGGGUGAGGAAUACAUCGGAAUCUACUUUUUCGUGGGGGAUAACGUAGGGAAACUUACGCUAAUACCGCAUACGACCUACGGGUGAAAGCAGGGGAUCUUCGGACCUUGCGCGAUUGAAUGAGCCGAUGUCGGAUUAGCUAGUUGGCGGGGUAAAGGCCCACCAAGGCGACGAUCCGUAGCUGGUCUGAGAGGAUGAUAAGCCACACUGGAACUGAGACACGGUCCAGACUCAUACGGGAGGCAGCAGUGGGGAAUAUUGGACAAUGGGCGCAAGCCUGAUCCAGCCAUACCGCGUGGGUGAAGAAGGCCUUCGGGUUGUAAAGCCCUUUUGUUGGGAAAGAAAAGCAGCAGGUUAAUACCCCGCUGUUCUGACGGUACCAAAAGAAUAAGCACCGGCUAACUUCGUG
This 492-nucleotide ribosomal RNA is filed under the name uncultured bacterium. Its description in RNAcentral is "partial 16S ribosomal RNA". It matches the Rfam family "Bacterial small subunit ribosomal RNA", at positions 29 to 507 of the family's 1533-position model. The record is from RNAcentral.